AAGAGCCGUGUGAGGUGAGAAUCUCAAGCACGGUUCUGUGAGCAGCUUGGGCUGAAAUGCCCUUGCUUACUCGAC
Non-coding RNA from Sphingobacteriales bacterium 44-61, 75 nucleotides. The record is from Rfam. Lineage: Bacteria; Pseudomonadati; Bacteroidota; Sphingobacteriia; Sphingobacteriales.